Molecule: long non-coding RNA, 538 nt
Organism: Aphis gossypii (cotton aphid)
Lineage: Eukaryota; Metazoa; Arthropoda; Insecta; Hemiptera; Aphididae
Exons: 3
Source: RefSeq, a predicted model, not a curated record
UGCUACUCUAUGUGUUUAUCGUUUGUCAUGAAAUGACUGUUCCAUUUCCAAAAUAUUAAAACAAAAGUUAUGAGUUUAUGACGCAUCUUAACAAUAGCAUAAAUUAGAAUCUGUUGAAAAACAAGUUGCUGGAUUACGUUAUUAUCACAGAAUCUACUAUUAAUACAGAAGAGGAAUUACAAACAUUGGAAGCAAAAUUAAUUAACCGUGAUCAAAACCAUGAAUUUAGAUUGUUGAAAUUACAAUAUAGUCAAUGGGUAAAGAUAUAAAACAUUCAAUUAAACGUAUUAACACAUGGCAUAUCAAAUUGGAUGUUCUGGCUAAAUACUCUAGUUUAACUACUUUUUGGAUAUUACACAUAUUUAUUUAUCUACUACAAUAAAUUCAAAUGUAAAAAAUAUUAUUUUGUGAGCCUCAUAGGUUUUUUUUAAAUUAUUUUUUACCUAGUAUAUUGAGAAUAAGAGAGUUAAUAUGGAUUAUUCUGAAUAUACAAUUCAUGCUAUGUUAUGCAUUUGUAAGACAUAACAAAGCAUGGAAG